This is a long non-coding RNA of Perca flavescens (yellow perch), 624 nucleotides long. RefSeq lists it as uncharacterized. The transcript is spliced from 2 exons. NCBI's taxonomy places the organism in Eukaryota, Metazoa, Chordata, Actinopteri, Perciformes, Percidae. The record is from RefSeq and is a predicted model, not a curated record.
GAUGUGUUCUAACUGUUAUAUUUCACCAAAAAUCCAUGUUUGUUGAUAUUUUGUUAUUUAUUUUCAUAUAAAUCUGGUUUUGUGUGUAUUUAUUUUGGGGAGCUUUUAUUUUGUUAAUUUUAUUCUGGCGGUGUGACCAGUUGCCUGUUAGUGAUGUCACUUCCUGUAUUCUCCUCAGUAGCGGUACGCUAUGGUGAGGAGAGGUAAGACAAUCUGAGCGCUCUGGUUCAAAGUGACUUAAAACAUGUUAAAACCGCUAAGUAGAAGUUCUUACCAUACUUUAACUGUCACUAGCUUUGUUCAUUGUCAUGGUGAUAUUUGUUUGAAUGUGUACAUACAGUUUUAUUGUGUACGGCACUUUUUGUGUGAGAUGCUAGCUCACUUCUCUCAGGCUAGCUUAAUGAAGAGCACACGUGUGGAUUCUUAUGCGCUGGUUCUUUUCUCCCUCUCAUUUAAAGGUGUGCUAUGUGCGUGUAGGAACCCAGAGCUGCUGUACUGAUUUAAUUGUGUGUUGUACACAGGUAUGCAAAAUAAAACCCCCGUUCAACUGGCAAAGCAGAAGAUGUCUGUCGUCCAUUACUACGCAUACUGAAAUUGAGGGAGUGUCAGGCCAGACCGGCUACA